RNAcentral lists this long non-coding RNA (874 nucleotides) under Zostera marina. RNAcentral's name for it is "long non-coding RNA (ZMAR_LNC000492)". The record is from RNAcentral. Lineage: Eukaryota; Viridiplantae; Streptophyta; Magnoliopsida; Alismatales; Zosteraceae.
CCUUCUGCUCCUUGGAUCUCAAUUGGGAUAGGCAUGAGUAUUGGGCCAAAGAAUAGUCCUUUGUAACUAUGACUUGUAAAUAACAUCUUUUACAAGAAAAAAGUAUCUAUUAAAAAAAAUAGAAGCCAUUUCCUAUAAGGUUGGUUGUUUGGUAAUUAAGGUCAGGAAAGGCUGAUGUGUAUGAGCCGUUGGAUUUUAGAGAUAUUUGAGAUGUUUUUGUGACCGUCCAUGUGUGUAAUGAUGAUAUUAAGUGCACAAAAUUAUCAAUGUGCCAAUGAAUAGGAAAUUUAAAUUGGUUAUUUAUAUGGAUUAUAUAUAUAUAUCAACUUUUUAUAAAUAGUUUUUAAAUUGAUAAAUUAUACAUGAAAAAGAUAUUAUCAAUAAAAUUAUAAACUUAUUUGGAAUAUUUGAAGGUAAAAAUUAUAUGUUAUUUUAUUAAUUUACCACAAAAUGUACAUAGUUAAGAAAUAGAAUUAUGGCAUUAGCUUAAUUUAUUUUUUUUAAUGAAAUUUAAUUGCUUCAAAAAAAAAAUUACAUAGAUCGCUAUUUACAAAAAUGUGAAAAAAUAAUUUUCUUUUUUCCCUAGUAUGAUUCUUUCUAAUGCGGAAUUCAUUUCUGAUCAAAUGAAUUUGGGAAAAAAGAAAAUACAAAUACAUCAAAUAUUUCAUUACCUUCCAAUAUUUACUCUUUUAUCUUCAAAUCAUCAAAUAAAACUCGGAGAUGAUGAUUAUUAUGCAGCAACGGAUUUUCCGACAUAAUACGCAAGAAAAUGUAACACGACGCCAUGUCGGUAUUUAACUUGUGAUUAAGAACGUCAGGAUGGAGAUCGAUGUCAAGAAAGAGAGUUGAAGUUCAAGAAAAGAUUUGAUUUAAG